Molecule: unclassified non-coding RNA, 336 nt
Filed under: soil metagenome
Description: partial contains 5.8S ribosomal RNA, internal transcribed spacer 2, and large subunit ribosomal RNA
Rfam family: 5.8S ribosomal RNA (bases 2-119)
Source: RNAcentral
GUGAAGAACGUAGCGAAAUGCGAUAAGUAAUGUGAAUUGCAGAAUUCAGUGAAUCAUCGAAUCUUUGAACGCACAUUGCGCCCGCCAGUAUUCUGGCGGGCAUGCCUGUUCGAGCGUCAUUUCAACCAUCAAGCCCCCGGGCUUGUGUUGGGGACCUGCGGCUGCCGCAGGCCCUGAAAAGCAGUGGCGGGCUCGCUGUCACACCGAGCGUAGUAGAUUUUAUCUCGCUCAGGGCGUGCUGCGGGUUCCGGCCGUUAAACCACCUUCAUAACCCAAGGUUGACCUCGGAUCAGGUAGGAAGACCCGCUGAACUUAAGCAUAUCAAUAAGCGGAGGA